GAUGAAGAACGUAGCGAACGUGCGAAACGUAAUGUGAAUUGCAGAAUUCAGUGAAUCAUCGAAUCUUUGAACGCAUCUUGCGCUCCUUGGUAUUCCGAGGAGCAUGCCUGUUUGAGUGUCGUGAAUACUCUCAACUUCAACCCUUUUUUCGGAAAGGGAGGAAGGUUGGACUUGGGUGUUUGUUGAAGUGCGAGCUUCGACUCAUCCUAAAUGCAUUAGCGAUCUGCCUCGAUCACACACAAUGUGAUAAUCAAAACUAAAGCAUUGUUUAAUGAUCAAGUCGAGACUGCUUCUAACUGUCGCAAGACAAUAACGUGCAUACAUUUGUGCAUGUCAUUUGACCUCAAAUCAGGUAGGACUACCCGCUGAACUUAAGCAUAUCAAUAAGCGGAGGA
This 395-nucleotide unclassified non-coding RNA is filed under the name soil metagenome. RNAcentral describes it as "partial contains 5.8S ribosomal RNA, internal transcribed spacer 2, and large subunit ribosomal RNA". The stretch from base 1 to 121 matches the Rfam family "5.8S ribosomal RNA", at positions 35 to 154 of the family's 154-position model. The record is from RNAcentral.